UCAUGCCUGGAUUCUGCCAACCACCUGCCUUCCAACACCUUUGUCAAUUACCUCUUGUUUAAGAACUUGUAAAUUAUAUACUCUGCCCAUGUGUUAUGUUUCCCUUACCUCCUGAACAUUUCCUGUGAAUGGAUCUUCUAGUUUGGGACCUGCUUCUGUCCCUGUGGAGUCCGUCCUUUGAAUAACCCAGUACAGGAUUUUAAUGAGAUCCAGAGAUGUUCUCCUAAUCGUUCACUCCAGUUGAAGUUAUUGCAGAAAGAACAGUGUCAAGGAAUCCACACAUUGCAUAUUCCUGCCAUGGAGCUGUGAUUGUUUCAAUAAAGGGCACAGGAAAAAAGGAAGUUAAGUAGAGCCCAUAACUGCCUUACUCU
RNAcentral lists this long non-coding RNA (371 nucleotides) under Mustela putorius furo (domestic ferret). RNAcentral's name for it is "lncRNA (ENSMPUG00000025975.1)". Lineage: Eukaryota; Metazoa; Chordata; Mammalia; Carnivora; Mustelidae. The record is from RNAcentral.